RNAcentral lists this ribosomal RNA (253 nucleotides) under uncultured bacterium. Its description in RNAcentral is "partial 16S ribosomal RNA". It matches the Rfam family "Bacterial small subunit ribosomal RNA", at positions 524 to 776 of the family's 1533-position model. The record is from RNAcentral.
UACGUAGGGGGCUAGCGUUGUCCGGAAUCAUUGGGCGUAAAGAGCGUGUAGGCGGCCCGGUAAGUCCGCUGUAAAAGUCAAAGGCUCAACCUUUGAAUGUCAGUGGAUACUGCCGGGCUAGAGUCCGGAAGAGGCGAGUGGAACUCCUGGUGUAGCGGUGGAAUGCGCAGAUAUAAGGAAGAACACCAACGGCGAAGGCAGCUCGCUAGGACGGUACUGACGCUGAGACGCGAAAGCGUGGGGAGCGAACAGG